This 817-nucleotide long non-coding RNA is filed under the name Suricata suricatta (meerkat). Its description in RNAcentral is "lncRNA (ENSSSUG00005001991.1)". The record is from RNAcentral. Lineage: Eukaryota; Metazoa; Chordata; Mammalia; Carnivora; Herpestidae.
CGUUUUUGCUCCCAAAUGUUGAGAAUCGCUCGGUAGUCACCUCUGAGCUAGGCGCAGCGAGAACGCUUAAUAAGACUGGGCUGAGAAUCUACAGGCAAGUCUCAAACCAAGAAACUUAAAGGAUUCCCUCCUUCCUCCUUCCUUGAUGUUUAUUUUACCCUGAUAUCGCCUGAGUGCCAAAGUCCACUUGGAGGACAAUGUGGUUUUCAUCAGCCAAAUGCAGAAGAUUUGGAAGGCCAGUUAGUACCCUUCUACAUCCCUAGAUUUCCUGAUCGACGAUGCUGAAGCAGGGACUGCACCUGAUGAGGAACACAAGGACCUGGCUGCUUGCCUUGAAUAGGAGAAAGGGACAGAAGGACCCACUUCAAAAACCUUUACUUUCCACUGCUCUGUCUUCCACUAAAAAGUGGGGUAUAAACAGUCUUCAGUCCUCACCUCUGUCCCAAAUGAGAUCCCAAAUGGGACAGCAGUAUCUGGAUGAAGGAAGGACGCCAUGGAACUGAAGGCACCCACCACAGGAUUUCAGAUAUAAACGAGUUGGCAGACUAUAAGCACCUACUCCUAAGAAUCAAAGCAGGAGGAAGCAUAAGAAGACUGGACACUGUGGAGAUUCCUGGGUGGCUCAGUCGGUUGGGCGUAUGACUUCGGCUUAGGUCAUGAUCUCACAGUUCAUGCGUUCAGGUCCUGCAUCAGACUCUGUACUGACAGCUCAGAGCCUGGAGCCUGCUUCAAAUUCUGUGUCUCCCUCUCUCUCUCUCCCUCCCCCAACUCACAUCUGUCUCUCUCUCUCAAAAAUAAAUAAACAUUUAAAAAAAUU